CCGUGGCUCAACUGGAUAGAGCAUCUGACUACGGAUCAGAAGGUUGCAGGUUCGAAUCCUGCCGGG
RNAcentral lists this transfer RNA (66 nucleotides) under marine eukaryotic metagenome. It matches the Rfam family "tRNA", at positions 5 to 66 of the family's 71-position model. Rfam says of the family: Transfer RNA (tRNA) molecules are approximately 80 nucleotides in length. Their secondary structure includes four short double-helical elements and three loops (D, anti-codon, and T loops). The record is from RNAcentral.